This 73-nucleotide transfer RNA is filed under the name Camelus bactrianus (Bactrian camel). It matches the Rfam family "tRNA". From Rfam's summary of the family: Transfer RNA (tRNA) molecules are approximately 80 nucleotides in length. Lineage: Eukaryota; Metazoa; Chordata; Mammalia; Artiodactyla; Camelidae. The record is from Rfam by way of RNAcentral. RNAcentral also lists the same sequence under 2 other names.
GAGGGUGUAGCUCAAAUGGUAGAGCACAUGCUUAGCAUACAUGAGGUCCUAGGUUCAAUCCCCAGUACCUCCU